RNAcentral lists this transfer RNA (75 nucleotides) under Bacillota bacterium. RNAcentral's name for it is "Firmicutes bacterium (anaerobic digester metagenome) tRNA-Arg". It matches the Rfam family "tRNA". From Rfam's summary of the family: Transfer RNA (tRNA) molecules are approximately 80 nucleotides in length. Their secondary structure includes four short double-helical elements and three loops (D, anti-codon, and T loops). Lineage: Bacteria; Bacillati; Bacillota. The record is from RNAcentral.
GUGCCCGUGGUGAAAAGGAUAUCACGUAGGCCUCCGGAGCCUAAAGUCGGGGUUCGAUUCCCUGCGGGCACACCA